UGUGAGGGCAUAUAGCCCUCGCUUUUCUGUACCGUAAGGUGGUACAGGAACAAGGACUGGGCAAGACCGGUGCCAGCCGCCGCGGUAAUACCGGCAGUCCAAGUGAUGGCCGAUAUUAUUGGGCCUAAAGCGUCCGUAGCUUGCUGUGUAAGUCCAUUGGGAAAUCGACCAGCUCAACUGGUCGGCGUCCGGUGGAAACUACACAGCUUGGGGCCGAGAGACUCAACGGGUACGUCCGGGGUAGGAGUGAAAUCCUGUAAUCCUGGACGGACCACCAAUGGGGAAACCACGUUGAGAGACCGGACCCGACAGUGAGGGACGAAAGCCAGGGUCUCGAACCGGAUU
RNAcentral lists this ribosomal RNA (345 nucleotides) under Haloarcula sp. EngPdB1. RNAcentral describes it as "bacterial SSU rRNA". It matches the Rfam family "Archaeal small subunit ribosomal RNA", at positions 385 to 730 of the family's 1478-position model. The record is from RNAcentral. RNAcentral also lists the same sequence under 3 other names. Lineage: Archaea; Methanobacteriati; Methanobacteriota; Halobacteria; Halobacteriales; Haloarculaceae.